GAGGGGGUGCUAACGUUAUUCGGAUUUACUGGGGUGUAAAGGGUGUGUAGACGGCUUAUCAAGUUCGUUGUUAAAUCUUCCGGCUUAACCGGGAAGCUUGCGAUGAAAACUGAUAGGCUUGAGGAUGAAAGAGAGAGGCGGAAUUCUCGGAGUAGCGGUAAAAUGCGUAGAUCUCGAGAGGAACACCGAUGGCGAAAGCAGCCUCUUGGUUCAUACCUGACGUUGAGACACGAAAGCGUGGGGAGCAAACAGGAUUAGAUACCCUGGUAGUCCACGCUGUAAACGAUGAUCACUGGAUAUCAGCUUUGCUUUGCAAGGUUGGUAUCGAAGCUAACGCGUUAAGUGAUCCACCUGGGAACUACGAUCGCAAGAUUA
This 375-nucleotide ribosomal RNA is filed under the name uncultured organism. RNAcentral describes it as "partial 16S ribosomal RNA". It matches the Rfam family "Bacterial small subunit ribosomal RNA", at positions 526 to 896 of the family's 1533-position model. The record is from RNAcentral.